Molecule: ribosomal RNA, 253 nt
Filed under: uncultured bacterium
Lineage: Bacteria
Description: partial 16S ribosomal RNA
Rfam family: Bacterial small subunit ribosomal RNA
Source: RNAcentral
UACGUAGGGAGCAAGCGUUGUCCGGAAUCAUUGGGCGUAAAGCGCGCGUAGGUGGCCUCAUAAGUCCGCUGUGAAAGUCAAAGGCUCAACCUUUGAAAGCCGGUGGAUACUGUGAGGCUAGAGUACGGAAGAGGCGAGUGGAAUUCCUGGUGUAGAGGUGAAAUUCGUAGAUAUUAGGAAGAACACCAGUGGCGAAGGCGGCUCACUGGUCCGGUACUGACGCUGAGGUGCGAAAGCGUGGGGAGCAAACAGG